Molecule: ribosomal RNA, 465 nt
Filed under: Vreelandella stevensii
Lineage: Bacteria; Pseudomonadati; Pseudomonadota; Gammaproteobacteria; Oceanospirillales; Halomonadaceae
Description: partial 16S ribosomal RNA
Rfam family: Bacterial small subunit ribosomal RNA
Source: RNAcentral
CCUACGGGGGGCUGUAGUGGGGAAUAUUGGACAAUGGGGGGAACCCUGAUCCAGCCAUGCCGCGUGUGUGAAGAAGGCCCUCGGGUUGUAAAGCACUUUCAGUGAGGAAGAACGCCUGGUGGUUAAUACCCAUCAGGAAAGACAUCACUCACAGAAGAAGCACCGGCUAACUCCGUGCCAGCAGCCGCGGUAAUACGGAGGGUGCGAGCGUUAAUCGGAAUUACUGGGCGUAAAGCGCGCGUAGGUGGCUUGAUAAGCCGGUUGUGAAAGCCCCGGGCUCAACCUGGGAACGGCAUCCGGAACUGUCAAGCUAGAGUGAAGGAGAGGAAGGUAGAAUUCCCGGUGUAGCGGUGAAAUGCGUAGAGAUCGGGAGGAAUACCAGUGGCGAAGGCGGCCUUCUGGACUGACACUGACCCUGAGGUGCGAAAGCGUGGGUAGCAAACAGGAUAAGAUACCCUAGUAGUC